UACAGGGGGGGCAAGCGUUGUUCGGAAUUACUGGGCGUAAAGGGCUCGUAGGUGGCCAACUAAGUCAGACGUGAAAUCCCUCAGCUCAACUGGGGAACUGCGUCUGAUACUGGAUGGCUUGAGUUUGGGAGAGGGAUGCGGAAUUCCAGGUGUAGCGGUGAAAUGCGUAGAUAUCUGGAGGAACACCGGUGGCGAAGGCGGCAUCCUGGACCAACACUGACACUGAGGAGCGAAAGCCAGGGGAGCAAACGGG
RNAcentral lists this ribosomal RNA (253 nucleotides) under uncultured bacterium. RNAcentral describes it as "partial 16S ribosomal RNA". It matches the Rfam family "Bacterial small subunit ribosomal RNA", at positions 524 to 776 of the family's 1533-position model. The record is from RNAcentral.